UAAAAUAUUUUCAUUGGCUUUGCAAAUAGCAGAAAAGUUGUCAAACCAAGGGGGAAAACCUACUGCAAUAUUUCUGCCUCUUUAGAUUCACAGAAGUCUUCAGGAGCAAACACAGGCAAAGACAGACCACAUGCCAGUGGUACUGAUGGAGAUGAAAGUGAGGAAGAUCCACCUGAGCAUAAGUCAAGCAAACUGAAGAGGAGCCAUGAACUGGACAUCGAUGAAAACCCAGCUUCAGACUUUGAUGACAGUGGUUCUCUUCUAGGAUUCAAGUAUGGCUCAGGACAAAAAUAUGGUGGAAUCCCAAAUUUCAGUCAUCGGCAGGUCAGGUAUUUAGAGAAGAACGUGAAGCAUAAGUCUAAGUACCUGGACAUGCGCAGACAAAUAAAGAUGAAAAACAAACACAUCUUCUUUACCAAAGAGUCAGAAAAACCAUUUUUCAGGAAAAGCAAAACUCUGAGUAAGGUAGAAAAAUUCCUCACAUGGGUUAAUAAACCAAUGGAUGAAGAAGCAUCACAGGAAUUGUCUUCUCAUGACAAUGUGCAUGACG
This 550-nucleotide small RNA is filed under the name Pongo abelii (Sumatran orangutan). RNAcentral's name for it is "retained intron". The record is from RNAcentral. Lineage: Eukaryota; Metazoa; Chordata; Mammalia; Primates; Hominidae.